CCAAUAGCGUAUAUUAAAGUUGUUGCAGUUAAAAAGCUCGUAGUUGAACUUCGGGGUUCACCCAUUGGUCAGGCUUAAUUGUCUGUACUGGUGAGAUGAGUCUCUACCUUCUGAGGAACUUUCAUGCCAUUUAUUUGGUGUGGUUGGAAAUCAGGACUGUUACUUUGAAAAAAUUAGAGUGUUUAAAGCAGGCUAACGUCUGAAUACAUUAGCAUGGAAUAAUGAAAUAGGACGGAUUGAUUCUAUUUCGUUGGUUUCUAGGGUCACCGUAAUGAUUAAUAGGGAUAGUUGGGGGCAUUAGUAUUCAAUUGUCAGAGGUGAAAUUCUUGGAUUUAUUGAAGACUAACUACUGCGAAAGCAUUUGCCAAGGAUGUUUUCAUUAAUCAAGAACGAAAGUUAGGGGAUCGAAGACGAUCAGAUACCGUCGUAGUCUUAACCAUAAACUAUGCCGACUAGGGAUCGGACGCAGUUAAUUUUAUAAUGACGGGUUCGGCACCUUACG
This 502-nucleotide unclassified non-coding RNA is filed under the name uncultured Diversispora. RNAcentral's name for it is "SSU rRNA". It matches the Rfam family "Eukaryotic small subunit ribosomal RNA", at positions 591 to 1092 of the family's 1831-position model. The record is from RNAcentral. Lineage: Eukaryota; Fungi; Glomeromycota; Glomeromycetes; Diversisporales; Diversisporaceae.